This is a long non-coding RNA of Schistocerca cancellata (South American locust), 401 nucleotides long. RefSeq lists it as uncharacterized. The transcript has 3 exons. The record is from RefSeq and is a predicted model, not a curated record. Lineage: Eukaryota; Metazoa; Arthropoda; Insecta; Orthoptera; Acrididae.
AAUGUGUAUUCUAACCGUACAUUAAAAAAGUGUCAUAAAACCUAUUAUGAAGACCAAAUUUAUAUAUCGAUAUUUAUACAAAUAACCACAUCUGUUCAUCAUUUCGCCCGCGUCGAGAACCCUGCAUUAACUGGAUCGAAGCAGAGAAGAGGAAUUUGCGUGAACAGAGGAGGGGCAAGCCGCUAUCCUCCAUACUUUGAAGAGCCUAAUGGUGUGCCAUGGCCUUUCCUAUGGGAACGUUAUGGAACACCACAAUAGUGGUGAUCAGUGCAGAUCUUGGCUGGGAAUGGACAGAGAUCCUACUGUAUCAGUAAUGGACAAAUUGAAACAGAAGGUGCCUUAGGAUGGAAGUGGACCAAAGAAAAUGAAAAUGAUUGCAUUUGGCCCUUCAAAGCAAUGAC